AUUGAACGCUGGCGGCAGGCCUAACACAUGCAAGUCGAACGGUAACAGGAAGCAGCUUGCUGCUUUGCUGACGAGUGGCGGACGGGUGAGUAAUGUCUGGGAAACUGCCCGAUGGAGGGGGAUAACUACUGGAAACGGUAGCUAAUACCGCAUAACGUCGCAAGACCAAAGAGGGGGACCUUAGGGCCUCUUGCCAUCGGAUGUGCCCAGAUGGGAUUAGCUAGUAGGUGGGGUAACGGCUCACCUAGGCGACGAUCCCUAGCUGGUCUGAGAGGAUGACCAGCCACACUGGAACUGAGACACGGUCCAGACUCCUACGGGAGGCAGCAGUAGGGAAUAUUGCACAAUGGGCGAAAGCCUGAUGCAGCCACGCCGCGUGUAUGAAGAAGGCCUUCGGGUCGUAAAGUACUUUCAGCGGGGAGGAAGGAAGUAAAGUUAAUACCUGUGCUCAUUGACGUUACCCGAAGAAGAAGCACCGGCUAACUACGUG
Molecule: ribosomal RNA, 490 nt
Filed under: uncultured bacterium
Lineage: Bacteria
Description: partial 16S ribosomal RNA
Rfam family: Bacterial small subunit ribosomal RNA
Source: RNAcentral